This 650-nucleotide ribosomal RNA is filed under the name uncultured bacterium. RNAcentral's name for it is "bacterial SSU rRNA". It matches the Rfam family "Bacterial small subunit ribosomal RNA", at positions 36 to 677 of the family's 1533-position model. The record is from RNAcentral.
CUUGGGGGGCAUGCCCUUAACAUGCAGUCGAACGGCAGCACGGGAGCAAUCCUGGUGGCGAGUGGCGAACGGGUGAGUAAUAUAUCGGAACGUGCCCAGUCGUGGGGGAUAACGUAGCGAAAGCUACGCUAAUACCGCAUACGAUCUACGGAUGAAAGCGGGGGACUCGUAAUGGCCUCGCGCGAUUGGAGCGGCCGAUAUCAGAUUAGGUUGUUGGUGAGGUAAAAGCUCACCAAGCCUGCGAUCUGUAGCUGGUCUGAGAGGACGACCAGCCACACUGGAACUGAGACACGGUCCAGACUCCUACGGGAGGCAGCAGUGGGGAAUUUUGGACAAUGGACGCAAGUCUGAUCCAGCAAUGCCGCGUGCAGGACGAAGGCCUUCGGGUUGUAAACUGCUUUUGUACGGAACGAAAAGGUCUGCUUUAAUACAGUGGGCUCAUGACGGUACCGUAAGAAUAAGCACCGGCUAACUACGUGCCAGCAGCCGCGGUAAUACGUAGGGUGCGAGCGUUAAUCGGAAUUACUGGGCGUAAAGCGUGCGCAGGCGGUUAUAUAAGUCAGAUGUGAAAUCCCCGGGCUCAACCUGGGACCUGCAUUUGAGACUGUAUAGCUAGAGUACGGUAGAGGGGGGAUGGAAUUCCGCGUGUA